Ruminococcus sp. is the source of this 86-nucleotide regulatory RNA element. It matches the Rfam family "Glycine riboswitch aptamer". Rfam says of the family: This family represents the bacterial glycine riboswitch. Glycine riboswitches usually consist of two metabolite-binding aptamers domains with similar structures in tandem. The record is from Rfam. NCBI's taxonomy places the organism in Bacteria, Bacillati, Bacillota, Clostridia, Eubacteriales, Oscillospiraceae.
ACAGAGAACUCUGGAGAAACCCGUUUGGGUGCCGAAGGUGCAAGGCAAAAGCCGAAUCUCUCAGGCAAAAGGACAGAGCAAAUUUU